RNAcentral lists this ribosomal RNA (465 nucleotides) under uncultured bacterium. Its description in RNAcentral is "partial 16S ribosomal RNA". It matches the Rfam family "Bacterial small subunit ribosomal RNA", at positions 338 to 795 of the family's 1533-position model. The record is from RNAcentral.
CCUACGGGGGGCUGCAGUGGGGAAUUUUGGACAAUGGGCGCAAGCCUGAUCCAGCUAUUCCGCGUGUGGGAUGACGGCCCUCGGGUUGUAAACCACUUUAGUAGAGAACGAAAAGGAGCUAUCGAAUAAAUAGCUCUGCUGACGGUACUCUAAGAAUAAGCACCGGCUAACUACGUGCCAGCAGCCGCGGUAAUACGUAGGGUGCGAGCGUUAAUCGGAAUUACUGGGCGUAAAGGGUGUGCAGGCGGCUGAGUAAGACAGAUGUGAAAUCCCCGGGCUUAACCUGGGAACCGCAUAUGUGACUGGUUGGCUAGAGUGCGUCAGAGGGAGGUGGAAUUCCACGUGGAGCAGUGAAAUGCGUAGAUAGGUGGAAGAACACCGAUGGCGAAGGCAGCCUACUGGACGGUGACUGACGCUGAGGCUCGAAAGCGUGGGGAGCAAACAGGAUUAGAUACCCGAGUAGUC